This is a long non-coding RNA of Oncorhynchus keta (chum salmon), 335 nucleotides long. RefSeq lists it as uncharacterized. The transcript is spliced from 4 exons. Lineage: Eukaryota; Metazoa; Chordata; Actinopteri; Salmoniformes; Salmonidae. The record is from RefSeq and is a predicted model, not a curated record.
GGAGGUUACCCCUGUCUGUCACCGUAACACCCAGAGAACACCCAAACAUAUCCAUCUGGGAGGUUACCCCUGUCUGUCACCGUAACACCCAGAGAACACCUAAACAUAUCCAUCUGGGAGGUUACCCCUGUCUGUCACCGUAACACCCAGAGAACACCUAAACAUAUCCAUCUGGGAGGUUACCCCUGUCUGUCACCGUAACACCCAGAGAACACCUAAACAUAUCCAUCUGGGAGGUUACCCCUGUCUGUCACCGUAACACCCAGAGAACACCUAAACAUAUCCAUCUGGGAGGUUACCCCUGUCUGUCACCGUACAACACCCAGAGAACACCU